Molecule: ribosomal RNA, 449 nt
Filed under: uncultured bacterium
Lineage: Bacteria
Description: partial 16S ribosomal RNA
Rfam family: Bacterial small subunit ribosomal RNA
Source: RNAcentral
AACGAACGCUGGCGGCAGGCCUAACACAUGCAAGUCGAACGCCCUAGCAAUAGGGAGUGGCAGACGGGUGAGUAACACGUGGGAACGUGCCCUUCGGUUCGGAAUAACUCAGGGAAACUUGAGCUAAUACCGGAUAAGUGCGAGAGCAGAAAGAUUUAUCGCCGAAGGAUCGGCCCGCGUCCGAUUAGCUAGUUGGUGAGGUAAUGGCUCACCAAGGUGACGAUCGGUAGCUGGUCUGAGAGGAUGACCAGCCACACUGGGACUGAGACACGGCCCAGACUCCUACGGGAGGCAGCAGUGGGGAAUAUUGGACAAUGGGCGCAAGCCUGAUCCAGCCAUGCCGCGUGAGUGAUGAAGGCCCUAGGGUUGUAAAGCUCUUUCGCCAGGGACGAUAAUGACGGUACCUGGAUAAGAAGCCCCGGCUAACUUCGUGCCAGCAGCCGCAGUAA